Molecule: long non-coding RNA, 211 nt
Filed under: Lathyrus oleraceus (garden pea)
Lineage: Eukaryota; Viridiplantae; Streptophyta; Magnoliopsida; Fabales; Fabaceae
Description: Pisum sativum (pea) long non-coding RNA (PSAT_LNC009426)
Source: RNAcentral
AAAAAUCAAUUACAUAUUGUCCAUAGUUAUUCAAAGAAAAAACAACCAUAAGCUGGAAUCAUAAAAGUGAUUGAAUCACACGAAGAUGUAAAAAAAAAAGAGAAAACAGUCAUUAAUAGUUAUUUCGUAGUAUUGCUAUCAUGAAUAUCACAAGUUUGGGGACCACAAGGAGAAAUUACAAACAAGAGAAAUACACCAGACGCAUCAAAAU